Molecule: ribosomal RNA, 434 nt
Filed under: uncultured bacterium
Lineage: Bacteria
Description: partial 16S ribosomal RNA
Rfam family: Bacterial small subunit ribosomal RNA
Source: RNAcentral
AGCGAACGCUGGCGGCAGGCCUAACACAUGCAAGUCGAACGAACCUUCCGUGGGUAGUUGCGGACGGGGGAGGAACACGGGGGAACGUGCCGGUAGGUACGGAAUAAUUCAGUGAAACUUGUGCUAAUAUCGAAUGUGCUAUUCUGGGGAAAGAUUAAUCGCCCUUAGAGCGGCCCGCGACUGUUUAGCUAGUUGGUUGUGGUAAUGGCGCCCCAAGGCGAGGAUCUGUACCUGGUCUGAGAGGAUGAUCACACACAUUUGCACUGAGACACGGCGCAAAAUACUACGGGAGGCGGGAGUGGGGAAUCUUGCGCAAUGGGCGAAAGCAUGACGCAGCCAUGCCGGGUAAAUGAUGAAGGUCUUAGGAAUAUAAAAUUCUUUCACCGGGGACGAUAAUGACGGUACCCGGAGAAGAAGCCCCGGCUAACUUCGUG